RNAcentral lists this ribosomal RNA (497 nucleotides) under uncultured bacterium. Its description in RNAcentral is "partial 16S ribosomal RNA". It matches the Rfam family "Bacterial small subunit ribosomal RNA", at positions 28 to 507 of the family's 1533-position model. The record is from RNAcentral.
GAUGAACGCUGGCGGCGUGCCUAAUACAUGCAAGUCGAGCGAACAGACGAGGAGCUUGCUCCUCUGACGUUAGCGGCGGACGGGUGAGUAACACGUGGAUAACCUACCUAUAAGACUGGGAUAACUUCGGGAAACCGGAGCUAAUACCGGAUAAUAUAUUGAACCGCAUGGUUCAAUAGUGAAAGACGGUUUUGCUGUCACUUAUAGAUGGAUCCGCGCCGCAUUAGCUAGUUGGUAAGGUAACGGGUUACCAAGGCAACGAGGCGUAGCCGACCUGAGAGGGUGAUCGGCCACACUGGAACUGAGACACGGUCCAGACUCCUACGGGAGGCAGCAGUAGGGAAUCUUCCGCAAUGGGCGAAAGCUUGACGGAGCAACGCCGCGUGAGUGAUGAAGGUCUUCGGAUCGGAAAACUCUGUUAUUAGGGAAGAACAAAUGUGUAAGUAACUAUGCACGUCUUGACGGUACCUAAUCAGAAAGCCACGGCUAACUACGUG